GGACAGGUGGCUGAGUGGCUGAAGGCGGUGGCUUCGAACCCCACCGAGGGGCUGAAUAGGCUCCUCCGCGAGUUCAAAUCUCGCCCUGUCCGCCA
RNAcentral lists this transfer RNA (95 nucleotides) under Hyphomicrobiales bacterium. RNAcentral's name for it is "tRNA-Ser". It matches the Rfam family "tRNA". Rfam says of the family: Transfer RNA (tRNA) molecules are approximately 80 nucleotides in length. Their secondary structure includes four short double-helical elements and three loops (D, anti-codon, and T loops). Lineage: Bacteria; Pseudomonadati; Pseudomonadota; Alphaproteobacteria; Hyphomicrobiales. RNAcentral also lists the same sequence under 1 other name. The record is from RNAcentral.